RNAcentral lists this ribosomal RNA (428 nucleotides) under Aeromonas hydrophila. RNAcentral's name for it is "bacterial SSU rRNA". It matches the Rfam family "Bacterial small subunit ribosomal RNA", at positions 49 to 470 of the family's 1533-position model. Lineage: Bacteria; Pseudomonadati; Pseudomonadota; Gammaproteobacteria; Aeromonadales; Aeromonadaceae. The record is from RNAcentral.
CUACACAUGCAAGUCGAGCGGCAGCGGGAAAGUAGCUUGCUACUUUUGCCGGCGAGCGGCGGACGGGUGAGUAAUGCCUGGGAAAUUGCCCAGUCGAGGGGGAUAACAGUUGGAAACGACUGCUAAUACCGCAUACGCCCUACGGGGGAAAGCAGGGGACCUUCGGGCCUUGCGCGAUUGGAUAUGCCCAGGUGGGAUUAGCUAGUUGGUGAGGUAAUGGCUCACCAAGGCGACGAUCCCUAGCUGGUCUGAGAGGAUGAUCAGCCACACUGGAACUGAGACACGGUCCAGACUCCUACGGGAGGCAGCAGUGGGGAAUAUUGCACAAUGGGGGAAACCCUGAUGCAGCCAUGCCGCGUGUGUGAAGAAGGCCUUCGGGUUGUAAAGCACUUUCAGCGAGGAGGAAAGGUUGAUGCCUAAUACGUAUC